RNAcentral lists this ribosomal RNA (462 nucleotides) under uncultured bacterium. Its description in RNAcentral is "partial 16S ribosomal RNA". It matches the Rfam family "Bacterial small subunit ribosomal RNA", at positions 28 to 507 of the family's 1533-position model. The record is from RNAcentral.
GACGAACGCUAGCGGCGUGCUUAACACAUGCAAGUCGAGCGGUAAGGCCUUUCGGGGUACACGAGCGGCGAACGGGUGAGUAACACGUGGGUGAUCUGCCCUGCACUUCGGGAUAAGCCUGGGAAACUGGGUCUAAUACCGGAUAUGACCUCCUAUCGCAUGGUGGGUGGUGGAAAGAUUUAUCGGUGCAGGAUGGGCCCGCGGCCUAUCAGCUUGUUGGUGGGGUAAUGGCCUACCAAGGCGACGACGGGUAGCCGACCUGAGAGGGUGACCGGCCACACUGGGACUGAGACACGGCCCAGACUCCUACGGGAGGCAGCAGUGGGGAAUAUUGCACAAUGGGCGAAAGCCUGAUGCAGCGACGCCGCGUGAGGGAUGACGGCCUUCGGGUUGUAAACCUCUUUCAGCAGGGACGAAGCGCAAGUGACGGUACCUGCAGAAGAAGCACCGGCUAACUACGUG